GAUGAACGCUAGCUACAGGCUUAACACAUGCAAGUCGAGGGGUAACGAGAGGGAAGCUUGCUUUCCUUGUCGACGACCGGCGCACGGGUGAGUAACGCGUAUCCAACCUGCCCCCAACUAGGGAAUAACCUUGCGAAAGUAAGACUAAUACCCUAUAAUUUCCUCAGAUGUCAUCUGACGAGGAAUAAAGAUUUAUCGGUUGUGGAUGGGGAUGCGUCUGAUUAGCUUGUUGGCGGGGUAACGGCCCACCAAGGCAACGAUCAGUAGGGGUUCUGAGGGGAAGGUCCCCCCCAUUGGAACUGAGACACGGUCCAAACUCCUACGGGAGGCAGCAGUGAGGAAUAUUGGUCAAUGGGCGGAAGCCUGAACCAGCCAAGUAGCGUGCAGGAUGACGGCCCUAUGGGUUGUAAACUGCUUUUAUACAGGAAUAAAGUUAGCCACGUGUGGUUAUUUGUAGGUACUGUAUGAAUAAGGACCGGCUAAUUCCGUGCCAGCCGCCGCAGUAA
This 506-nucleotide ribosomal RNA is filed under the name uncultured bacterium. RNAcentral describes it as "partial 16S ribosomal RNA". It matches the Rfam family "Bacterial small subunit ribosomal RNA", at positions 28 to 523 of the family's 1533-position model. The record is from RNAcentral.